UUAGAAUUAUAAGAUAUUGUUAAUUUCUUAAAGGCAAAUAACCAUUCUAAG
This 51-nucleotide transfer RNA is filed under the name Walchia hayashii. RNAcentral's name for it is "tRNA-Asn". The record is from RNAcentral. Lineage: Eukaryota; Metazoa; Arthropoda; Arachnida; Trombidiformes; Trombiculidae.